UUUUAAAGGGGAUUUUGGUGAGGCAAUCGAAAAAUUUCAGAGAAUCCAAGAUUUAAAGAACUCUUCUUUGGGUGUUAAAGAUUUGUUAAAGGAUGCAAACCCAAGCACCAUAGUGGAUUUAAUAUAUUGAUGAAGCUUACCUUCUUGAGUUGGAGUAGUUCCAUGAGGUUAUUGUUGCAUCGGCCAUAUUUGGGAUCCUCAUGCAAUGGCGACGAAGAGAGAGAAGA
Molecule: long non-coding RNA, 227 nt
Organism: Juglans microcarpa x Juglans regia
Lineage: Eukaryota; Viridiplantae; Streptophyta; Magnoliopsida; Fagales; Juglandaceae
Exons: 3
Source: RefSeq, a predicted model, not a curated record